GAUUGAGUUAUUACCCGGAUUGCGGCAGCUAAGCGUGCUUGGGCGUGAGUAGUAAUAGGAUGGGUGACCCCCUAGGAAGUCCUCGUGUUGCAACUC
This 96-nucleotide ribosomal RNA is filed under the name Helianthus annuus (common sunflower). Lineage: Eukaryota; Viridiplantae; Streptophyta; Magnoliopsida; Asterales; Asteraceae. The record is from RNAcentral.